AAGCUAGCAUUCUGAAGCAGUCCAUGUAGCAAAGAAUAUAUGGGAGUUUACAGCCAACAACUAGCAAAGAACUGAAUUCUCUUAGUCAUUCCAACCACAAAGAAUGGAACCCUGACAAUAACCAAUCCUGAGGUAGCUUGGAAGAAUUUGCCCCAGUAGAACCUAAGAUGAGUAUGGACCUGGCUGAGAAGUUGAUUACAGGCUUGCGAGAGACCCUGAAAGCAGAGGACCCAGGACUUAACAACAUGGGUAUAGGGACUGGAGAGAUGAACAGUUGGGUUUAUACAAGGUGGUUAUAGCUUUUCUGGAUACAAGCAGUUACAGGGUUUUCUCCUCUAUUUCCUGCAUUCUAAACAUACCAUGUGUCUACAUUGAGCCUACAUGUGGUACUUCCAAGAUAAUCAUUUCCAAUGCAAGCAUGCACAAAGCUCUGUGAUUGGAGCUAGAGUGCACAUUGAUUUAAGAAGGAGGAGAUUAGGAUAUAGACAUACACAGAAGGAAGACCAUAUGAAGACAGGGAAAAGAUGGCUAUCUAUCUAUAAGCCCAGCAGAGAGGCCUUAGAAGAAUCCAACCCUGACAAUAUCUUGAUCUUCAACUUCUGGCCUCCAGAGCGAGAAAGAGGGAGAGGCAGAGACACAGGCAGAGGGAGAAGCAGGCUCCAUGCAG
Canis lupus familiaris (dog) is the source of this 667-nucleotide long non-coding RNA. RefSeq lists it as uncharacterized. The transcript has 5 exons. The record is from RefSeq and is a predicted model, not a curated record. NCBI's taxonomy places the organism in Eukaryota, Metazoa, Chordata, Mammalia, Carnivora, Canidae.